GAUGAAGAACGUAGCGAAAUGCGAUAAGUAGUGUGAAUUGCAGAAUUCAGUGAAUCAUCGAAUCUUUGAACGCACAUUGCGCCCCUUGGUAUUCCAUGGGGCAUGCCUGUUCGAGCGUCAUUUGUACCUUCAAGCUCUGCUUGGUGUUGGGUGAUUGUCUAUCUUUUUAGACUCGCCUUAAAGUCAUUGGCAGCCGGCAUAUUGGCCUGGGAGCGCAGCACAAGUCGCGCUUCUUGUCAUGAAUGUUGGCGUCCAGUAAGUCUACAUAUUUUGCUCUUGACCUCGGAUCAGGUAGGGAUACCCGCUGAACUUAAGCAUAUCAAUAAGCGGAGGA
RNAcentral lists this unclassified non-coding RNA (334 nucleotides) under soil metagenome. RNAcentral describes it as "partial contains 5.8S ribosomal RNA, internal transcribed spacer 2, and large subunit ribosomal RNA". The stretch from base 1 to 120 matches the Rfam family "5.8S ribosomal RNA", at positions 35 to 154 of the family's 154-position model. The record is from RNAcentral.